This 94-nucleotide ribosomal RNA is filed under the name Nocardioides sp. Root1257. Its description in RNAcentral is "partial 16S ribosomal RNA". It matches the Rfam family "Bacterial small subunit ribosomal RNA", at positions 1 to 96 of the family's 1533-position model. The record is from RNAcentral. RNAcentral also lists the same sequence under 1 other name. Lineage: Bacteria; Bacillati; Actinomycetota; Actinomycetes; Propionibacteriales; Nocardioidaceae.
UUCAACGGAGAGUUUGAUCCUGGCUCAGGACGAACGCUGGCGGCGUGCUUAACACAUGCAAGUCGAGCGGAAAGGCCCUUCGGGGUACUCGAGC